RNAcentral lists this ribosomal RNA (407 nucleotides) under uncultured bacterium. Its description in RNAcentral is "partial 16S ribosomal RNA". It matches the Rfam family "Bacterial small subunit ribosomal RNA", at positions 28 to 526 of the family's 1533-position model. The record is from RNAcentral.
GACGAACGCUGGCGGCGUGCCUAAUACAUGCAAGUAGAACGCAGUUGCGAACGGGUGAGUAACGCGUAGGUAAUCGCCUCAAAGCGGGGGAUAACCAUUGGAAACGAUAGCCAAUACCGCAUUCUGUGACAUAGACCUGUGUUGUUUUGGCUGGUUGGUGAGGUAAAGGGUCACCAAGGCGACGAUACAUAGCCGACCUGAGAGGGAGAUCGGCCACACUGGGACUGGAGACCGGCCCAGACUCCUUCGGGAGGCAGCAGUAGGGAAUUAUCGGCAAUGGGCGGAAGUCUGACCGAGCAACUGCGGGUGGGUGGAGGAAGUUUUCCGAUCGUAAAGCUCUGUUGUGAGGGGAGCGUUAACUAACCAGAAAGCGACGGCUAACUACGUGCCAGCAGCCGCGGUAAUUC